This 796-nucleotide ribosomal RNA is filed under the name uncultured bacterium. RNAcentral describes it as "bacterial LSU rRNA". It matches the Rfam family "Bacterial large subunit ribosomal RNA", at positions 167 to 1011 of the family's 2925-position model. The record is from RNAcentral.
UAGGUGUAAGGGGCGAACGCGGAGAACUGAAACAUCUAAGUACCCGCAGGAAAAGAAAUCAACCGAGAUUCCCAAAGUAGCGGCGAGCGAAAUGGGAUUAGCCCUUAAGUUACAGUGGAUUUAGCAGAACGCUCUGGAAAGUGCGGCAAUAGAGGGUGAUAGCCCCGUAUGCGAAAGGUCCAUUGUAGUGAAAUCGAGUAGGUCGGGACACGUGAAAUCCUGACUGAACAUGGGGGGACCAUCCUCCAAGGCUAAAUACUCCUAGCUGACCGAUAGUGAACUAGUACCGUGAGGGAAAGGCGAAAAGAACCCCGGUGAGGGGAGUGAAAUAGAUCCUGAAACCGCGUACGUACAAGCAGUAGGAGCCUCUUUUAUGGGGUGACUGCGUACCUUUUGUAUAAUGGGUCAGCGAGUUAUUGUCAGUAGCAAGGUUAACCGUUUAGGGGAGCCGUAGGGAAACCGAGUCUUAAUAGGGCGUUUUAGUUGCUGGUAAUAGACCCGAAACCGGGCGAUCUAGCCAUGGCCAGGUUGAAGGUGCCGUAACAGGCACUGGAGGACCGAACCCACCUAUGUUGAAAAAUGGGGGGAUGAGCUGUGGCUCGGAGUGAAAGGCUAAUCAAGCCCGGAGAUAGCUGGUUCUCCUCGAAAACUAUUUAGGUAGUGCCUCGCGUUUGACUGCUGGGGGUAGAGCACUGUGUCGGCUAGGGGGUCAUCCCGACUUACCAACCCGAUGCAAACUCCGAAUACCAGUAAGUAUUAUCGCGGGAGACAGACAGCGGGUGCUAACGUCCGUUGU